This 492-nucleotide ribosomal RNA is filed under the name uncultured bacterium. RNAcentral's name for it is "partial 16S ribosomal RNA". It matches the Rfam family "Bacterial small subunit ribosomal RNA", at positions 28 to 507 of the family's 1533-position model. The record is from RNAcentral.
GAUGAACGCUAGCUACAGGCUUAACACAUGCAAGUCGAGGGGAAACGACAUCGAAAGCCUGCUUUUGAUGGGCGUCGACCGGCGCACGGGUGAGUAACGCGUAUCCAACCUGCCCACCACUUGGGGAUAACCUUGCGAAAGUAAGACUAAUACCCAAUGAUAUCUCUAGAAGACAUCUGAAAGAGAUUAAAGAUUUAUCGGUGAUGGAUGGGGAUGCGUCUGAUUAGCUUGUUGGCGGGGUAACGGCCCACCAAGGCAACGAUCAGUAGGGGUUCUGAGAGGAAGGUCCCCCACAUUGGAACUGAGACACGGUCCAAACUCCUACGGGAGGCAGCAGUGAGGAAUAUUGGUCAAUGGACGAGAGUCUGAACCAGCCAAGUAGCGUGCAGGAAGACGGCCCUAUGGGUUGUAAACUGCUUUUAUAAGGGAAUAAAGUGAGUCUCGUGAGACUUUUUGCAUGUACCUUAUGAAUAAGGACCGGCUAAUUCCGUG